GAAUCAUGGCUCAGGAUGAACGCUAGCUACAGGCUUAACACAUGCAAGUCGAGGGGAAACGAUAUUGGAAGCUUGCUUCCGAUAGGCGUCGACCGGCGCACGGGUGAGUAACGCGUAUCCAACCUGCCCACCACUCGGGGAUAACCUUGCGAAAGUAAGACUAAUACCCAAUGAUAUCUCUAGAAGACAUCUGAAAGAGAUUAAAGAUUUAUCGGUGAUGGAUGGGGAUGCGU
This 233-nucleotide ribosomal RNA is filed under the name uncultured bacterium. RNAcentral's name for it is "partial 16S ribosomal RNA". It matches the Rfam family "Bacterial small subunit ribosomal RNA", at positions 14 to 236 of the family's 1533-position model. The record is from RNAcentral.